CGAGUAGGCGGUGGAGCAAGUCUGAGGUGGAAUCCUAUGGCUUAACCAUAGAACUGCCUUAGAGACUGUUUCACUUGAGUCAGUGAGGGGAGGGCGGAAUUCCUGGUGUAGCGGUGAAAUGCGUAGAUAUCAGGAGGAAGGCCUGUGGCGAAGGCGGCCCUCUGGCACUGCACUGACGCUGAGGCGCGAAAGCGUGGGGAGCAAACAGGAUUAGAUACCCUGGUAGUCCACGCCCUAAACGGUGGGCAUUAGGUGUAGGGCUCGUAAGGGUUCUGUGCCGAAGGGAAACCAUUAAAUGCCCCGCCUGGGGAGUACGGCCGCAAGGUUGAA
Molecule: ribosomal RNA, 330 nt
Filed under: uncultured bacterium
Lineage: Bacteria
Description: bacterial SSU rRNA
Rfam family: Bacterial small subunit ribosomal RNA
Source: RNAcentral